GACAUAGGUGGCGGACGUUAUCCGGAAUUAUUGGGCGUAAAGGAUGCGUAGAUGGUGUGAAAAGUUAUCAGUGGCAAAUCGGGGCUCAACCUCGUGGAAGCUGUUAAUACUAUCAUGCUUGAGUUCAGGAGAAGUUAACGGAACUCCAUGUGGAGCGGUAAAAUGUGACGAUAUAUGGAAGAACACCAAUAAGGCGAAGGCAGUUAACUAUUCUGUUACUGACAUUGAGGCAUGAAAGCGUGGGGAGCAAAACGG
RNAcentral lists this ribosomal RNA (255 nucleotides) under uncultured bacterium. RNAcentral describes it as "partial 16S ribosomal RNA". It matches the Rfam family "Bacterial small subunit ribosomal RNA", at positions 524 to 776 of the family's 1533-position model. The record is from RNAcentral.